UUUCAUCAUAAAAUUCACUCAGAUUCACUCUUAAAUCCUAUCAAAGAAACACAACAAAUUAUCCUAUCAAAUUCAUCUAAUUCCAUCCUCUUCCUCAAAUCUAUCUAGGCAAGUGAGAAGAGCCUUAGGGUACUGGAAAAAGAUUCUGGGGGAAGGCGUUAUUUGCGGUCGUGGUGAUAUUGUGAAGGUAAAUUGGAUAUUGAAAGCCAGAAAGAGAGAAGGUUUGUUUGGAAGAAAAUGAUUAAUCAGAUAGAGAAAACACAACUAUGGAAAUCUGGGCCAUUAUAUAUAUGCAUGUGCAACACGAAACUUAAGGGUGAUUAUCUGUAGCAGGAUUGAUGAGACCAUUAAACUUUUAUGAGUCUACGCUACAAUAACAACAUAGAUAAAGCAGUGCAAAACCAAUAUUUCAUUCCCUGUAUAUAUUAAUUGUGUUGUUUCUGAAAUCACAUAUGGGGAUUAUAGUUGUUUAUAUUAAUCUCUUAAUUGCUAAAUAUGACAUUCAAUGUUUAUUUUGACAAGUUUAUCUGUUAAAUUUAUUUUUUUAUUUUUA
Vigna unguiculata (cowpea) is the source of this 553-nucleotide long non-coding RNA. NCBI's taxonomy places the organism in Eukaryota, Viridiplantae, Streptophyta, Magnoliopsida, Fabales, Fabaceae. The record is from RefSeq and is a predicted model, not a curated record.